This 375-nucleotide unclassified non-coding RNA is filed under the name uncultured bacterium. RNAcentral describes it as "contains 16S-23S intergenic spacer region". The record is from RNAcentral.
UCCGGUUUGUCACCGGCAGUCUCAUUAGAGUGCCCAACUGAAUGUAGCAACUGGAAGCAGGGUUGCGCUCGUUGAUGGACUUAACCAAACAUCUCACGACACGAGCUGACGACGGCCAUGCAACACCUGUCACUUGGCUUCCGAAGACACUUUCUCCUUUCGGAGAAAUUCCAAGGAUGUCAAGCCUGGGUAAGGUUCUUCGCUUACCAUCGAAUUAAACAACACGCUCCACCGCUUGUGCGGGUCCCCGUCAAUUCCUUUAUGUUUUAAGCUUGCGCUCGUACUCCACAGGCGGGAUGCUUAACGCGUUAGCUUCGCUACUAGAGGGGUCGAUACCUCUAACAGCUAGCAUCCAUAGUUUACGGCGUGGACUAC